Molecule: long non-coding RNA, 387 nt
Organism: Oncorhynchus tshawytscha (Chinook salmon)
Lineage: Eukaryota; Metazoa; Chordata; Actinopteri; Salmoniformes; Salmonidae
Source: Ensembl
CAGAGCACAGGAAGGAGGGCUAGUCAGAGCACAGGAAUGAGGGGCUAGUCAGAGCACAGGGAGGAGGGGCUAGUCAGAGCAGAGGGAGGAGGGGCUAGUCAGAGCACAGGGAGGAGGGGCUACUCAGAGCACAGGAAGGAGGGGCUAGUCAGAGCACAGGGAUGUGGGGCUAGUCAGAGCACAGUGAGGAGGUGCCAGUCAGAGCACAGGGAGAAGGGGCUAGUCAGAGCAAAGGGAUGUGGGGCUAGUCAGAGCACAGGGAGGAGGGGCUAGUUAGAGCACAGGAAGAAGGGGCUAGUCAGAGCACAGGGAGGAGGGGCUAGUCAGAGCACAGGGAUGUGGGGCUAGUCAGAGCACAGGGAGGAGGGGCUAUGGGGUGGGGCUAGU